CACGUGCUACAAUGGACAAUACAAAGGGCAGCGAAACCGCGAGGUCAAGCAAAUCCCAUAAAGUUGUUCUCAGUUCGGAUUGUAGUCUGCAACUCGACUACAUGAAGCUGGAAUCGCUAGUAAUCGUAGAUCAGCAUGCUACGGUGAAUACGUUCCCGGGUCUUGUACACACCGCCCGUCACACCACGAGAGUUUGUAACACCCGAAGCCGGUGGAGUAACCUUUUAGGAGCUAGCCGUCGAAGGUGGGACAAAUGAUUGGGGUGAAGUCGUAACAAGGUAGCCGUAUCGGAAGGUGCGGCUGGAUCACCUCCUUU
RNAcentral lists this ribosomal RNA (316 nucleotides) under Staphylococcus aureus. RNAcentral describes it as "bacterial SSU rRNA". It matches the Rfam family "Bacterial small subunit ribosomal RNA", at positions 1219 to 1533 of the family's 1533-position model. Lineage: Bacteria; Bacillati; Bacillota; Bacilli; Caryophanales; Staphylococcaceae. The record is from RNAcentral.